This 329-nucleotide long non-coding RNA is filed under the name Drosophila guanche. The record is from RNAcentral. Lineage: Eukaryota; Metazoa; Arthropoda; Insecta; Diptera; Drosophilidae.
ACGAACAGACAGACAUGGCUAUGUUGACUCGGCUAUUGAUGCUGAUCAAGAAUAUAUAUACUUCCUUCUGUGUGUUACCUUUUUUCCCAAAAAUACAAUAUACCCUAUUUACUCUUCGAGUACCGGGUAUAAAAUCAGCCAGGGCAUACGGUACAUAAAUGGCACUAGGACUGGUACUGCGACGAAUGAAUAAAUUGAAUGCCUUUUCAAUGCCAAUAUUUUAAAUGGGCAGGGGAAAAGGAAAAAAAAGGGAGAAAACAACAACCAAUUGUGACGCGUCUAGCGGAAACGGAAGCGUUCACUUGUACUACAGUGCGAUAAAAACAAAG